This 844-nucleotide long non-coding RNA is filed under the name Olea europaea (common olive). RNAcentral's name for it is "long non-coding RNA (OEUR_LNC001807)". Lineage: Eukaryota; Viridiplantae; Streptophyta; Magnoliopsida; Lamiales; Oleaceae. The record is from RNAcentral.
GUUUUUCAGAGUAAAAGUUGAAGACAAACUAAUGCGCACAAAUUCAGAACACCAUUGAAGUACCUGGACAUCUAGUUCAUUUGCAGCAUUUAACAGAGAUAAAACAUCAUACAUCAUGAAAAUCAAAAAAUUUACAUGAACGUGAAAGUAUUUUUCUAUUUUUGUUUGAUUACAUAAUAUAGGCUCAACAAGACGCUAAAAGAGGAACUAUGGAUGCAGGAGCCAAUUAAAACAGCAAUUACAUGACUUUGACCAUUUUGUACAGGACUACCACCAAAAUGAUAUUACCUGAUUUAAGAUGCUAGUACAAGUCCAUUUAGUGUACAUUUUCUUAGAUUAAUGCGCAGUUUAUAGUCUCAGGGUUAAGAUGUACAUGAGAACAAAAGCAGUAUGGUUAUCUUAUUAAUGUACUUCAACCAAUUCUCAACAUCAACAAAAAAAUUUCCAAUAACAUAAAUGAUUGAAAAGAUAACUCAAUAUUUUAACCACUUACAAGUUUAUGGUGUUCUUGUAAAAAGAUGCAAGAAUUACCAAAUAUUAAAGAAGUAGACUGCAUCUUGAAUUUUCGAUAAAUAAUAGGUGAAAAACCAGAUCAUAUGGUUGAAUGAUAACAAAAAUAAAUAGCCAAAUUUGUGAUAUUUAAGCAAGAAGAGAACAUGUCAUAUGCACAAGCCUAAAAUUUAAUAGCAAUACAUUAGACCAAGUACAAGUUAAAAGCAAUGAGUUUUGUCCACAUGGAUGACUUACUUCAAGUAAAGCCCGCAUGGCUAGUUUGACAGUCUCCUGGCCAGAUGUUUCUUUGUAAUUCUUCUCCAGAAACUCCCGGAUCGAGUUUGAGUUUCUC